Molecule: ribosomal RNA, 451 nt
Filed under: uncultured bacterium
Lineage: Bacteria
Description: bacterial SSU rRNA
Rfam family: Bacterial small subunit ribosomal RNA
Source: RNAcentral
AACGAACGCUGGCGGCAGGCCUAACACAUGCAAGUCGAACGCUGUAGCAAUACAGAGUGGCAGACGGGUGAGUAACGCGUGGGAACAUACCCUUCGGUUCGGAAUAACUCAGGGAAACUUGAGCUAAUACCGGAUACGUGCGAGAGCAGAAAGAUUCAUCGCCGAAGGAUUGGCCCGCGUUCGAUUAGCUUGUUGGUGAGGUAAUGGCUCACCAAGGCGACGAUCGANAGCUGGUCUGAGAGGAUGAUCAGCCACAUUGGGACUGAGACACGGCCCAAACUCCUACGGGAGGCAGCAGUGGGGAAUAUUGGACAAUGGGCGAAAGCCUGAUCCAGCCAUGCCGCGUGAGUGAUGAAGGCCUUAGGGUUGUAAAGCUCUUUUACCCGGGAAGAUAAUGACGGUACCGGGAGAAUAAAGCCCCGGCUAACUUCGUGCCAGCCGCCGCUGUAAC